This 273-nucleotide ribosomal RNA is filed under the name Macrocheles subbadius. RNAcentral's name for it is "partial 18S ribosomal RNA". It matches the Rfam family "Eukaryotic small subunit ribosomal RNA", at positions 1272 to 1571 of the family's 1831-position model. The record is from RNAcentral. Lineage: Eukaryota; Metazoa; Arthropoda; Arachnida; Mesostigmata; Macrochelidae.
GGAUGGUGGUGCAUGGCCGUUCUUAGUUGGUGGAGUGAUUUGUCUGGUUAAUUCCGAUAACGAACGAGACUCUAGCCUAUUAAAUAACACACAGAAUCAUGUCUUCUGCGGUGUUUCUUAAUGGGAUCAAGUGUGUUUAACACUUUGAAACAGAGCAAUAACAGGUCUGUGAUGCCCUUAGAUGUUCGGGGCCGCACGCGCGCUACAUUGAAAGACAAAAUGAGCGUUUCUGGUUUUUAACAAAACUAGUAAUCUUUGAAUGUUUUUCUUAAU